Molecule: long non-coding RNA, 2723 nt
Organism: Oncorhynchus keta (chum salmon)
Lineage: Eukaryota; Metazoa; Chordata; Actinopteri; Salmoniformes; Salmonidae
Exons: 3
Source: RefSeq, a predicted model, not a curated record
UGUGUGUGUGUGUGUGUGUGUGUGUGUGUGUGUGUGUGUGUGUGUGUGUGUGUGUGUGUGUGUGUGUGUGUGUGUGUGUGUGUGUGUGUGUGUGUGCGUGCGUGCGUGCGUGCGUGCGUGCGUGCGUGCGUGCGUGCGUGCGUGCGUGCGUGCGUGCGUGCGUGCGUGCGUGCGUUCUGUGUUGUGAAACCCAAGCGGCCGUGGGGAUAACUAAUUCAUGGGCACACACACAAAAACACACACCUAUACACACACCUAUACAUUCACAAACACACACCUAUACAGUACAUUGUGUUUGUGAAUGUAUAUGUGUGUAUAAUGUCUGUUAAUGUAGAGGUAUGUCAAAUUAAAUCAAACUUUAUCGGUCACAUACACAUGGUUAGCAGAUGUUAAUGCGAGUGUGUGUGUGUGUGUGUGUGUGUGUGUGUGUGUGUGUGUGUGUGUGUGUGUGUGUGUGUGUGUGUGUGUGUGUGUGUGUGUGUGUGUGUGUGUGUGUGUGUGUGUGUGUGUGUGUGUGUGUGUGUGUGUGUGUGCGCGUGUGUGUGUGUGUACAUGAGAAAUGGGAUAACAUGGUGGAACAUUGUGGUCCGGUGACCCACUUGUAGAAGAUUAAAUGAAGCUCUACAGAUGAGAUCCAGUCGUAUACUGUAGUACUACUACUACUACCCAACCAAUGUCGUAGGGUUCCUCAAGCCUUUUAUCUUAAGUACAGUAUGUAGUAAUAUAUUGUUAACUGUGGAAAGCCUGAGUAAACUGUUCCCAGAUCUGUUUGUGCUCUUGGUCACAGAUCCGUUUGCGCUCUUGCCAACAUACACUCAGUGGCCAUUUUAGUGAACCCCAUUCACUAAAAUGGUUCGCUCCUACAGACAGUGAGUCACGUGGCCGUAGCUUGCUUUAUAAAGCAGGCAAACAGGCAUCGAGGCAUUCAGUUACUGUUCGAUUGAAUGGGCAAAACUAGUGAUCUAAGCGACUUUGAGCAUGGUAUGAUCCUCAGUGCCAGGCACGACAGUUCCAGUAUCGCAGAAACAGCCGGCCUCCUGGGCUUUUCACGUACGACAGUGUCUAAGGGUUUACAGAGAAUGGUGCGACAAACAAAACACAUCCAGUCAGCUGCAGUCCUGUGGGCAAAAACAGCUUGAAGGAGAAGGAGAAUGGCACGAAUCGUGCCAGCUAACAGGCGGGCCACAAACAGGCAAAUAACGGAGCUUAUGAACAAAACUACUCAGUAAUCUUCUCCGUAAAGACCGGGGGUCAAGCUGAUGAACCAAACUACUCUGUAAUCUCCUCCAUAAAGACUGUGGGUCAGCCUGAUGAACCAAACUACUCUGUAAUCUCCUCCGUAAAGACCGGGGGUCAAGCUGAUGAACCAAACUACUCAGUAAUCUUCUCCGUAAAGACUGUGGGUCAGCCUGAUGAACCCAACUACUCUGUAAUCUCCUCCGUAAAGACCGGGGUCAAGCUGAUGAACCAAACUACUCAGUAGUCUCCUCCAUAAAGACUGUGGGUCAGCCUGAUGAACAAAACUACUCUGUAAUCUCCUCUGUAAAGACCGGGGGUCAAGCUGAUGAACCAAACUACUCAGUAGUCUCCUCCUUAUAGCCUAACUCUCACACACUCACAUAAACACACACAUUUCAACAAAACAAAUAUAUAUAUUUUUUUUGUGUGUGAUUACUGAUCAAUUCAUAUGUGCAUUUAAUUUUCUGUUUUAACAAAGCUUUUUAUUUGGGUACUUAUGUCUUGUAAAUAAUUUGUUUGUUUGCUGUGGUUUUUAUAUCAGUUCUUGUGCUUUCAACCACACCUGCACACCGUUUUUAUUUAUACAUUUUUAUCUGUAUUGUUGUCUAUCACUUGUUAUCUUUGGUGUACAUUGUUCUUUAAAGGAUUUGGCGUAAGUAGCAUGAGUCCAUGGCCAACGAGUCCUGGUGUCAACGGUACAGACUGGUGGCAGUGGUGUAAUGGUUUGGGGAUUAUUUUCCUUGCACACGUUCGGUCCCUUGAUACCAAUUGAGCAACGUUUCCGAGCCCCGAGGCUGUUCUGGAGGCAAAGGGGAGUCCUACCCAGUACUAGAUGGGUGUACCUAAUAAACUGGCCACUGAGUGUCUCACUUCUCUGUUAUAAAAAGUAUGCAAAUAAAAGGCACCAAACACACAGGGUUGGUUACCUCCUGAGGUCCCUUGUGUCUCUACCAACCGAGGUCAACCAGCCCAUAGUUUUAACGUUCCUGUGUUUGGAAUCAUUUACUAACCACAUGACAUCUUGAGUCCCUGGUGCCAAUAGGGUCGUUUAAAAUGAGGAAUGAAUUCAGUGAGGUUUGCGAGUGUUUUGGUUGAUUUUAAUCAUGUAUUUGUGUUGUUGAAAUGUAGUUUAUAUGUGCUGUAGGUUGUUUUGGUUGAUUUUAAUCAUGUAUUUGUGUUGUUGAAAUGUAGUUUAUAUGUGCUGUAGGUUGUUUUGGUUGAUUUUAAUCAUGUAUUUGUGUUGUUGAAAUGUAGUUUAUAUGUGCUGUAGGUUGUUUUGGUUGAUUUUUUUAUUUCAUUCAUUUGAUUUGAGCAUUUUUUGUUGUCAGGGCACCAUUCAGAAUGAGUCUCAAUUGGCCACCGUGAAUAAAUAAAAGGUAAAACAAAGAAAUAACAAAUCCAUUGCUGUAUGCUGUCAUUGUCAAGACAAACAUUUUUAGCAUGAAAAUGGUGGAAAAGGAGUUGGCAUGAUGGCACAAACAGAC